This 407-nucleotide ribosomal RNA is filed under the name uncultured bacterium. RNAcentral describes it as "bacterial SSU rRNA". It matches the Rfam family "Bacterial small subunit ribosomal RNA", at positions 355 to 776 of the family's 1533-position model. The record is from RNAcentral.
UGGGGAAUAUUGCACAAUGGGCGAAAGCCUGAUGCAGCAACGCCGCGUGAGGGAAGAAGGUCUUCGGAUUGUAAACCUUUGUCCUAAGUGAAGAAACAAAUGACGGUAGCUUAGGAGGAAGCCACGGCUAACUACGUGCCAGCAGCCGCGGUAAUACGUAGGUGGCAAGCGUUGUCCGGAUUUACUGGGUGUAAAGGGUGCGCAGGCGGGACUGCAAGUUGGAUGUGAAAUACCGGGGCUUAACUUCGGAGCUGCAUCCAAAACUGUGGUUCCUGAGAGAUGUAGAGGUAAGCGGAAUUCCGAGUGUAGCGGUGAAAUGCGUAGAUAUUCGGAGGAACACCAGUGGCGAAGGCGGCUUACUGGGCAUUUUCUGACGCUGAGGCACGAAAGUGUGGGGAGCAAACAGG